CCAAGGAUUCCACUUCUGAGCCAUCCAUAAAUCCAGGGACCUAAUUAUUCUUUCGAGUGCAAUGAAGUGAAACAUAGAGCAUUCAAUCAGCUUUCGUAUGAUGACAAAUGGCAGAAAAGAAUCCAAUCCAAACAGAAAUAUUGUGGUGAGACCUGAGUCAGAUUCUCUGGCAGUGGUGAAGAUGGUCAUCAGAUUUGUCACUGUUCCACCAUAAUACCGAGCUCUCUUAAUAACGGAUUGUACAGCUUUGAGUCACACUCCUGUUUCAGUCCUGGUGGUCAGGGUUGCAUAGCACGAUAGAUAUUACUUUGGAUACCUCGCUGGAGUUCCUACCAUUUACUGGACAGAGGAAUGAGACGCUAAGCAAUAUGGUAUCAAAAUAUUUUCAUACUUUUAGCUGUGUUGACUUUCACUGACUUCAUAGGGAGAUUGUAGCAAUCUCCCAACGAUUGCAACUUUUGAAAAUGGAAGAGUAAAACAAAACCAUCUAUAAAAAAGUGGACAAUCUCAGCAGCAAGAGCAGAUAACUGGCAGACAUAAAAAAGGCAGAAAAUGCAGUCUCAACAUGAAAUGAUUACUGAGCUGAUCUUGCAAGAAACUUGAAAACGAAGGAGGAUUCAGCAUUUGGAGGGUCUGCAGAACUGGGUCCUAACUGAUGCAGACACAACAGUGAAAUGAGGACAGACACUUGGAUGGAUUUUAAGCAGCAGACUGCAACUUGUAUUAAAUUGAAAUACAGGAAUGGGAGUGCCACCUGCCCAUCAACCACACCAGGCAUUUAAUUGGUUCCAGUGUGGGGGUUACAGGACUCCUACCAUAUAACCUGUCACUUAGGGUAGGUUCUCCUCAGCCUACCACACACACACACUCAGCCCAUGAGGGGGAGAGAAGGUGCAGAAGGGUGGUGACCUCAGCCUCUGAGGACCAUAAGAUCUGACCUCAGCCCACAAGGUCAAACCCUAUUACAUGAGCCCAAGGCCCAUAAAAAAUCGUAGGUCUUUUACCUCUGGGAACCAUUCAUUUAAUCAUUUUUACCACUUUGGAAACCAGCCACAAGUUGCGAUGACUUAACAACUCGACCAAUUAUGUCAGUUAAGUACUAAGCGUAUGCCUACCUAACCUAUUGUGCUUUGAAGAUGCUGCAAGGAAGGGAAAAAAACUCCCAGGUCCUCUGCCAAUUGGCUCAUUGGAGAAAAAAUUCCUUCUGAGUCCCAAAUGGGUGAUUGGCUAGACCUACAGCCUCU
Long non-coding RNA from Mauremys reevesii (Reeves's turtle), 1244 nucleotides. RefSeq lists it as uncharacterized. The record is from RefSeq and is a predicted model, not a curated record. NCBI's taxonomy places the organism in Eukaryota, Metazoa, Chordata, Testudines, Geoemydidae. The transcript is spliced from 3 exons.